AUUGAACGCUGGCGGCAGGCCUAACACAUGAAAGUCGAGCGAGCGGCGGACGGGUGAGUAAUGUCUGGGAAACUGCCUGAUGGAGGGGGAUAACUACUGGAAACGGUAGCUAAUACCGCAUACCAUCAGAUGUGCCCAGAUGGGAUUCGCUAGUAGGUGGGGUAACGGCUCACCUAGGCGACGAUCCCUAGCUGGUCUGAGAGGAUGACCAGCCAUACUGGAACGUAGACACGGUCCAGACGCGUACGGGAGGCAUCAGUGGGGAAUAUUGCACAAUGGGCGCAAGCCUGAUGCAGCCAUGCCGAGUGUGUGAAGAGGGCCUUCGGGUUGUAAAGCACUGUCAGCGGGGAGGCGUUACCCGCAGAAGAAGCACCGGCUAACUCCGUGCCAGCAGCCGCGGUAAUUC
This 406-nucleotide ribosomal RNA is filed under the name uncultured bacterium. RNAcentral's name for it is "partial 16S ribosomal RNA". It matches the Rfam family "Bacterial small subunit ribosomal RNA", at positions 30 to 526 of the family's 1533-position model. The record is from RNAcentral.